GAUGAACGCUGGCGGCGUGCCUAAUACAUGCAAGUCGAGCGAACAGAUGAGGAGCUUGCUCCUCUGACGUUAGCGGCGGACGGGUGAGUAACACGUGGAUAACCUACCUAUAAGACUGGGAUAACUUCGGGAAACCGGAGCUAAUACCGGAUAAUAUAUUGAACCGCAUGGUUCAAUAGUGAAAGACGGUUUUGCUGUCACUUAUAGAUGGAUCCGCGCCGCAUUAGCUAGUUGGUAAGGUAACGGCUUACCAAGGCAACGAUGCGUAGCCGACCUGAGAGGGUGAUCGGCCACACUGGAACUGAGACACGGUCCAGACUCCUACGGGAGGCAGCAGUAGGGAAUCUUCCGCAAGGGGCGAAAGCCUGACGGAGCAACGCCGCGUGAGUGAUGAAGGUCUUCGGAUCGUAAAACUCUGUUAUUAGGGAAGAACAAAUGUGUAAGUAACUAUGCACGUCUUGACGGUACCUAAUCAGAAAGCCACGGCUAACUACG
Molecule: ribosomal RNA, 495 nt
Filed under: uncultured bacterium
Lineage: Bacteria
Description: partial 16S ribosomal RNA
Rfam family: Bacterial small subunit ribosomal RNA
Source: RNAcentral